RNAcentral lists this ribosomal RNA (426 nucleotides) under uncultured Stenotrophomonas sp. RNAcentral's name for it is "bacterial SSU rRNA". It matches the Rfam family "Bacterial small subunit ribosomal RNA", at positions 356 to 774 of the family's 1533-position model. Lineage: Bacteria; Pseudomonadati; Pseudomonadota; Gammaproteobacteria; Lysobacterales; Lysobacteraceae. The record is from RNAcentral.
GGGGAAUAUUGGACAAUGGGCGCAAGCCUGAUCCAGCCAUACCGCGUGGGUGAAGAAGGCCUUCGGGUUGUAAAGCCCUUUUGUUGGGAAAGAAAUCCAGCUGGCUAAUACCCGGUUGGGAUGACGGUACCCAAAGAAUAAGCACCGGCUAACUUCGUGCCAGCAGCCGCGGUAAUACGAAGGGUGCAAGCGUUACUCGGAAUUACUGGGCGUAAAGCGUGCGUAGGUGGUCGUUUAAGUCCGUUGUGAAAGCCCUGGGCUCAACCUGGGAACUGCAGUGGAUACUGGACGACUAGAGUGUGGUAGAGGGUAGCGGAAUUCCUGGUGUAGCAGUGAAAUGCGUAGAGAUCAGGAGGAACAUCCAUGGCGAAGGCAGCCACCUGGACCGGUAUUGACGCUGAGGUGCGAAAGCGUGGGGAGCAAACA